Molecule: small nucleolar RNA, 134 nt
Organism: Loxodonta africana (African savanna elephant)
Lineage: Eukaryota; Metazoa; Chordata; Mammalia; Proboscidea; Elephantidae
Gene: SNORA5A
Product: small nucleolar RNA SNORA5
Source: Ensembl
UGCAGCUGUGUCAAAUUCAGUGCCUGCCCCACCCAUGGCAGGCACUGGCCCAAAAGGCUGCCAUAGAAACACUGUAACUCAUGGGCCCUGUUCCCUCCCCUGGGCAUCAGGGAUAAAUUUUGUUACAGACACCA